CAAAUUGCAGAGGGAUUAGGGCUCUGUUUGAUGAGUUUAAUAUUUUAUAUUUAUCUUGAAGUUUCUAUACAUACCUAUAUCUAUAUCCUGGAUCUAAUUUAGCCUGGGGUGUAAUCAGUAAAAAAAAGGCAGGGUAACCUCAUCACCUGUAAGCAUUCCAGUGGGAAAAUACACAGCACCAGCAGGAAUUCAGGUUAAAGAUGUUGAAAAAAAAUCUCCUUUCAUCAGGGCUUUCUUCCUCAUUAAAUGCAGAGUUUGCUCAUAAGUAUUUGCCAAAUAAAAAGGGAGAAAUAGGUAAAAGUUAAUACUAUACAAUUAAGUUCCCUUGAAUUUUCCCAGAAGGUUCACCUCAGCUUAAUUUAAUAUCCCCUCAGUCCUCCCAAGCCAUCUGCUUGGCUGAGAUGUGAAACAAAUGUGUACAGUUCGAUGUAUUUAUCAUGCCAGCCUCGGAGGUGAGCAAAGCUCAUAGGAAACAGGUUUGCUCAGUGACCCUGCAGGGCAGUUGUCUCUUCAAGACGUCCUUCACCAUGCAGCAAAAGGCUGCUAUCAGCUAUCCUGGAAGAGACUUGGAAUAAUGGAGCAAGGCAGGUGGAGCUUGUGCUAAAUGAUGAGCAUGUCAACAGCCUCGUUGUCUUGGUGAGUUGGGCUCAGCAGCUGGGGAAGUCAGGGGAGAGACUGGCCUGAAUUCCCAGCUGGGUGGGGGCACAUGCAAACUGGUUCCUCCUGAGCUUGUUAGAGACCAUCAGUGAUUUGAGUGGGAGAGCAAAAGGAAGCAGGAGUGUUGGGAUGAAGGAGGAAAGCUUCCUGGCCCCUGUGGUGAUAACCUAUUAGCACAGCUCUGUCUCCGAGGGAGCAGAUGCCAGCCUUUGGAGCAUGCUGCUGGCUGGUGUGUGCUCACACCUCUGAGGCACUGAUGGGUCCUGAGCAGCCCCACAGUUGAAGGAUAACUUCCUGUUGUUCGCAUCCUGGCAGAGCUGCUGGCAUCCCUGCUGUUCCGUAUUCCUCCCCAGAAUCUGCAUGUUCCAACAAUCAGCUGGAAGUUCCGACCCUUUGUUUGUUUGGUUCUAGCGUUUUGGGGCAGAUCAUUGAGGUGCUGGGCUGGCAAAUUGAGAGCCCUGUGGUCACUCGGGCUGUGUGUCUGUCCCUAAACCCUUGCUUUUCCCAGGAAUGGGAUGGCAAGGACCCCAC
Long non-coding RNA from Neopsephotus bourkii (Bourke's parrot), 1188 nucleotides. RefSeq lists it as uncharacterized. The transcript has 3 exons. NCBI's taxonomy places the organism in Eukaryota, Metazoa, Chordata, Aves, Psittaciformes, Psittacidae. The record is from RefSeq and is a predicted model, not a curated record.